RNAcentral lists this ribosomal RNA (833 nucleotides) under uncultured bacterium. Its description in RNAcentral is "bacterial SSU rRNA". It matches the Rfam family "Bacterial small subunit ribosomal RNA", at positions 9 to 883 of the family's 1533-position model. The record is from RNAcentral.
GAGUUUGAUCCUGGCUCAGGAUGAACGCUGGCGGUAUGCCUAACACAUGCAAGUCGAACGGGUGUCUUCGGACAUUAGUGGCGGACGGGUGAGUAACGCGUGAGAAUCUGCCUUCAGGAUGGGGACAACAAUUGGAAACGAUUGCUAAUACCCGAUAUGACGAAAGUUGAAAGAUUUAUCGCCUGGAGAUGAGCUCGCGUCAGAUUAGCUAGAUGGUGUGGUAACGGCGCACCAUGGCGACGAUCUGUAGCUGGUCUGAGAGGAUGAGCAGCCACACUGGGACUGAGACACGGCCCAGACUCCUACGGGAGGCAGCAGUGGGGAAUUUUCCGCAAUGGGCGCAAGCCUGACGGAGCAAUACCGCGUGAGGGAGGAAGGCUCUUGGGUCGUAAACCUCUUUUCUCAGGGAAGAACAAAAUGACGGUACCUGAGGAAUCAGCAUCGGCUAACUCCGUGCCAGCAGCCGCGGUAAUACGGAGGAUACAAGCGUUAUCCGGAAUGAUUGGGCGUAAAGCGUCCGUAGGUGGUUAUGUAAGUCUGUGGUUAAAGCGUGGGGCUCAACCCCAUAAGGGCCAUGGAAACUACAAGACUUGAGUAAAGUAGGGGUAGAGGGAAUUCCCAGUGUAGCGGUGAAAUGCGUAGAGAUUGGGAAGAACACCGGUGGCGAAAGCGCUCUACUGGACUUAAACUGACACUGAGGGACGAAAGCUAGGGGAGCGAAAGGGAUUAGAUACCCCUGUAGUCCUAGCCGUAAACGAUGGAUACUAGGUGUUGCCCGUAUCGACCCGGGCAGUGCCGUAGCUAACGCGUUAAGUAUCCCGCCUGGGGAGUAC